UUAAAACUUUUAACAACGGAUCUCUUGGUUCUGGCAUCGAUGAAGAACGCAGCGAAAUGCGAUAAGUAAUGUGAAUUGCAGAAUUCAGUGAAUCAUCGAAUCUUUGAACGCACAUUGCGCCCCCUGGUAUUCCGGGGGGCAUGCCUGUUCGAGCGUCA
Molecule: ribosomal RNA, 158 nt
Filed under: Cladosporium herbarum
Lineage: Eukaryota; Fungi; Ascomycota; Dothideomycetes; Cladosporiales; Cladosporiaceae
Description: 5.8S ribosomal RNA
Rfam family: 5.8S ribosomal RNA
About the family: 5.8S ribosomal RNA (5.8S rRNA) is a component of the large subunit of the eukaryotic ribosome. It is transcribed by RNA polymerase I as part of the 45S precursor that also contains 18S and 28S rRNA. Functionally, it is thought that 5.8S rRNA may be involved in ribosome translocation.
Source: RNAcentral